This 852-nucleotide long non-coding RNA is filed under the name Dasypus novemcinctus (nine-banded armadillo). Its description in RNAcentral is "lncRNA (ENSDNOG00000052446.1)". Lineage: Eukaryota; Metazoa; Chordata; Mammalia; Cingulata; Dasypodidae. The record is from RNAcentral.
CCAGCCAGAGGAACAUCGACAUGCAAACACUGAGCCAAGCUGAACACUGAGCUACAUCCUGAGUUACAACACCGAGUCAAGCCAUGGAGCCAAGCUGCAAGCAUGCCAAGCUGAGCUGCAACAAUGAACAUCGAGUUGCAAGAGGAAACACCACACUGAGAAUGCUGAGCUAAGCUGCAGUGACAAACAUCAAAUGCCAAGUGAAGCUGCAAUGCCAAGCCAUGUGCUUCCAUCACUGCCUUGGUCAGUCUUGUGCCAUGACCCAGGCUUGAGCUGUAACACUAAAGGUGCUUCCACUGGUGCCUCAGCUAGUGGCAACAUUUGGUGCCAAAACCUGGGAAUCUAUGCAACUAAGACUGCACAACCAAUCCUGCAACUGAGAACACUGCAGGACCUCCGGUCAGAGCUAAGCAGCAAGUACAACAAGCAGAGCUGCAACAAAGAACAUUGAGCUGCAAGAAGAGACACCAAGCUGAGAAUGCCAAAUCAAGUUGCAAUGCCAAGUCAUGCACUUCCACCACUGCCUCAGCCAGGCUUGUCCCAUGGCCCAGGUUGAGCUGUAGCACUGAAGGCACUUCCACUGGUGCCUCAAGCCAGGCUGGUGCCUCAGACAGGCUGUGCCUCAGCUAGGCUUGUGCAGUCACACCAGGCAGCAUUUCCAUCAUCACCCUGACCAGGUUCAAGUUCAAUACUGAGCUGUGAUUAAAAAAAGUUUGAUUUAUUAUACUGAACUCACAUUUCUUCAUUCUGAAGUUCAUCUGAACCAGAGAAUAAAGGUGGUGAUAAUAGUUUGCCUUUUCAUUGUUAAAUCAUAUGAUCCUUUAUGUAUCAUGGAUAUUAAACACUUCUGGA